GAUGAACGCUAGCGGCAGGCUUAACACAUGCAAGUCGAGGGGCAACACGGGUAGCAAUACCUGGUGGCGACCGGCGCAAGGGUGCGUAACGCGUGAGCAACAUGCCCUAUACAGGGGGAUAAUCCAGGGAAACUUGGUCUAAUAUCCCAUAGUAUUUAGAGGUGGCAUCACCACUAAAUUAAAGCUUCGGUGGUAUAGGAUUGGCUCGCGUGACAUUAGCUGGAUGGUGGGGUAACGGCUCACCAUGGCGAUGAUGUCUAGGGGUUCUGAGAGGAAGACCCCCCACACUGGGACUGAGACACGGCCCAGACUCCUACGGGAGGCAGCAGUGAGGAAUAUUGGACAAUGGAUGGAAAUCUGAUCCAGCCAUGCCGCGUGCAGGAUGACGGCCCUACGGGUUGUAAACUGCUUUUCCCCGGGGCGAAUAACCCCCUCGCCGAGGGGGAGUGGCCGGUACCGGGGGAAGUAAGGGAAUCGGCUAACGUCCGUGCCAGCAGCCGCGGUAACUAGUCGUACG
Molecule: ribosomal RNA, 517 nt
Filed under: uncultured bacterium
Lineage: Bacteria
Description: bacterial SSU rRNA
Rfam family: Bacterial small subunit ribosomal RNA
Source: RNAcentral